GACGAACGCUGGCGGCGUGCUUAACACAUGCCAGUCGAACGGAAAGGCCCUGCUUUUGUGGGGUGCUCGAGUGGCGAACGGGUGAGUAACACGUGAGUAACCUGCCCUUGACUUUGGGAUAACUUCAGGAAACUGGGGCUAAUACCGGAUAGGAGCUCCUGCUGCAUGGUGGGGGUUGGAAAGUUUCGGCGGUUGGGGAUGGACUCGCGGCUUAUCAGCUUGUUGGUGGGGUAGUGGCAUACCAAGGCUUUGACGGGUACCCGGCCUGAGAGGGUGACCGGCCACAAUGGGACUGAGAGACGGCCCAGACUCCUACGGGAGGCAGCAGUGGGGAAUAUUGCACAAUGGGCGGAAGCCUGAUGCAGCAACGCCGCGUGCGGGAUGACGGCCUUCGGGUUGUAAACCGCUUUCGCCUGUGACGAAGCGUGAGUGACGGUAAUGGGUAAAGAAGCACCGGCUAACUACGUG
RNAcentral lists this ribosomal RNA (468 nucleotides) under uncultured bacterium. Its description in RNAcentral is "partial 16S ribosomal RNA". It matches the Rfam family "Bacterial small subunit ribosomal RNA", at positions 28 to 507 of the family's 1533-position model. The record is from RNAcentral.